RNAcentral lists this transfer RNA (72 nucleotides) under Canis lupus familiaris (dog). It matches the Rfam family "tRNA". From Rfam's summary of the family: Transfer RNA (tRNA) molecules are approximately 80 nucleotides in length. Their secondary structure includes four short double-helical elements and three loops (D, anti-codon, and T loops). Further hydrogen bonds mediate the characteristic L-shaped molecular structure. tRNAs have two regions of fundamental functional importance: the anti-codon, which is responsible for specific mRNA codon recognition, and the 3' end, to which the tRNAs corresponding amino acid is attached (by aminoacyl-tRNA synthetases). tRNAs cope with the degeneracy of the genetic code in two manners: having more than one tRNA (with a specific anti-codon) for a particular amino acid; and 'wobble' base-pairing, i.e. permitting non-standard base-pairing at the 3rd anti-codon position. RNAcentral also lists the same sequence under 1 other name. The record is from Rfam by way of RNAcentral. Lineage: Eukaryota; Metazoa; Chordata; Mammalia; Carnivora; Canidae.
GCCUGGCUGGCUCAGUUGGAAAAGCGUGGGACUCUUGAUCUCAGGUCAUGGGUUUGGGCCCCACGUUGGGCA